RNAcentral lists this small RNA (184 nucleotides) under Junco hyemalis (dark-eyed junco). RNAcentral's name for it is "TUC338 (ENSJHYG00000003310.1)". Lineage: Eukaryota; Metazoa; Chordata; Aves; Passeriformes; Passerellidae. The record is from RNAcentral.
AUUGCUAUCCUGGAGAAUUAAGUCUUCCAUUUAUCGACAGGACACGUGCAGCUCUGGCACGAGGGGUGUAAAUUCCCCACUGGCUCCUGUCAAUGCUCCCUGCCCUGCUGGGGAGGAGCACAUGUAGAGAGGACGGCUAGCAGGAAGGGAGAAAGGUUUCAUGAUCCCAAGAAAUAUAUCUUCU